CAGCCGCCGCGGGAACACGUAGGUGGCAAGCGUUGUCCGGAAUUAUUGGGCGUAAAGGGCUCGCAGGCGGUUUCUUAAGUCUGAUGUGAAAGCCCCCGGCUCAACCGGGGAGGGUCAUUGGAAACUGGGAAACUUGAGUGCAGAAGAGGAGAGUGGAAUUCCACGUGUAGCGGUGAAAUGCGUAGAGAUGUGGAGGAACACCAGUGGCGAAGGCGACUCUCUGGUCUGUAACUGACGCUGAGGAGCGAAAGCGUGGGGAGCGAACAGGAUUAGAUACCCCUGUAGUCCCUGUCUCUUAUAC
RNAcentral lists this ribosomal RNA (301 nucleotides) under uncultured bacterium. Its description in RNAcentral is "partial 16S ribosomal RNA". It matches the Rfam family "Bacterial small subunit ribosomal RNA", at positions 509 to 807 of the family's 1533-position model. The record is from RNAcentral.